CUAUUGAUAAAUAAACAAAUCCUGUUGCUGCUCACCAAGAGGACUGCUUAACAGAUUUACCCAUGUGAGAGGUGGCUCGCUUACAAUGCCCACGCACCCAAAGGGCCAGCUCCUGCAUUUUUUCACUUCACCGAUGCCAAAGCCACUUUGCCCACCUUUGCAGCAGACGCAGGGAAUUAACUAUCUCAAGAAGUGGCCCUUAGUUAUUAACUGAUGGCAGCUGGUCCCAGGGUAUCCAAGAAGCUGUCAUCCAGGUCUUCUCCAAUGAAGCUACAACAACCCACAGAGCCAGCAGGGGAACCUACACCUUCGAUGUCAUAUAUGAGCAAACAGUCAUUAGAUGGGCGUCCUUCAUCUUCAUCUGCAUGGACUUAUUUAUAAUUGUGUACUUUGGACAUAAAACCAUACACAAAAAAAUCACAUGAAUUGGUUUCGAGGAGGAGCCAAGAUGGCCGAAUAGGAACAGCUCUGGUCUACAGCUCCCAGCGUGAGCGACGCAGAAGACGGGUGAUUUCUGCAUUUCCAUCUGAGAUGGAGUGAAUAUGAUGAUUCUGUGAAGGUUUAUUGCAACAUGACUUUUUCAGCACAGCAACAGGAAAAUUUGACUCUGGGUCUGUUCUACAAAAUUAAAGCUUUCUCAGCACAAAAAACAGCAUAGACUGUGAGUGAUGGCGGCCAUCUUGGUUCAUGUGUAAAGACUGAAUUUCAGUGACUACCAACGGCUAUUUCUUAGAAUGUGGCACUUACCCUGGGUUCAGGCUGUGGUCCUUCUACUGCCCAUGAAUGAAUUGCUCCAUCUGAACAUUCGGGAACAGGCUCAAAGCCAGCUGCACUACGAGGAGCACCUCCACAAUCACAACAGAUCAUCAAAAAUGGGACCACUGGUGGUGGAGGGAUAGUAAUACUAGAGUUAGCACUGGGUGCAAAUAAAAAACAAAACAAC
This 943-nucleotide long non-coding RNA is filed under the name Homo sapiens (human). RNAcentral's name for it is "HSALNT0393675". The record is from RNAcentral. Lineage: Eukaryota; Metazoa; Chordata; Mammalia; Primates; Hominidae.